GAACGCAUCUUGCGCUCCUUGGUAUUCCGAGGAGCAUGCCUGUUUGAGUGUCAUUAUAUUCUCAACCAUUGAACUUGUUUUUCUUUGGCUUGGAUGUGGGGGUUGCGGGCUUCGCAAGAGGUCGGCUCUCCUUAAAUGCAUUAGUGGAAACCGCUUGCAGGAUUCAUUCACUUUUUGGCGUGAUAGUAUCGUCGUCAAAGGGCUUAUGUCUCCGAGGUGUCUGCUCUCUAACCGUCCGUUAAAGGACUCUUAAUGACUUGUUUGACCUCAAAUCAGGUAGGACUACCCGCUGAACUUAAG
Molecule: unclassified non-coding RNA, 300 nt
Filed under: uncultured fungus
Lineage: Eukaryota; Fungi
Description: sequence contains 5.8S rRNA gene
Rfam family: 5.8S ribosomal RNA (bases 1-53)
Source: RNAcentral